RNAcentral lists this ribosomal RNA (468 nucleotides) under uncultured bacterium. RNAcentral describes it as "partial 16S ribosomal RNA". It matches the Rfam family "Bacterial small subunit ribosomal RNA", at positions 28 to 507 of the family's 1533-position model. The record is from RNAcentral.
GACGAACGCUGGCGGCGUGCUUAACACAUGCAAGUCGAACGGAAAGGCCCUGCUUUUGUGGGGUGCUCGAGUGGCGAACGGGUGAGUAACACGUGAGUAACCUGCCCUUGACUUUGGGAUAACUUCAGGAAACUGGGGCUAAUACCGGAUAGGAGCUCCUGCUGCAUGGUGGGGGUUGGAAAGUUUCGGCGGUUGGGGAUGGACUCGCGGCUUAUCAGCUUGUUGGUGGGGUAGUGGCUUACCAAGGCUUUGACGGGUAGCCGGCCUGAGAGGGUGACCGGCCACAUUGGGACUGAGAUACGGCCCAGACUCCUACGGGAGGCAGCAGUGGGGAAUAUUGCACAAUGGGCGGAAGCCUGAUGCAGCAACGCCGCGUGCGGGAUGACGGCCUUCGGGAUGUAAGCCGCUUUCGCCUGUGACGAAGCGUGAGUGACGGUAAUGGGUAAAGAAGCACCGGCUAACUACGUG